GAUGAACGCUGGCGGCGUGCCUAAUACAUGCAAGUCGAGCGAACGGACGCGAAGCUUGCUUCUCUGAUGUUAGCGGCGGACGGGUGUGUCACACGUGGAUAACCUACCUAUAAGACUGGGAUCACUUCGGGACACCGGAGCUAAUACCGGAUAAUCUUUUGCACCGCAUGGUUCAAAAGUGAAAGACGGUCUUGCUGUCACUUCUCGAUGGAUCCGCGCUGCAUUAGCUAGUUGGUAAGGUAACGGCUUACCACGGCAACGAUGCAUAGCCGACCUGAGAGGGUGAUCGGCGACACUGGAACUGAGACACGGUCCAGACUCCUACGGGAGGCAGCAGUAGGGAAUCUUCCGCAAUGGGCGAAAGCCUGACGGAGCAACGCCGCGUGAGUGAUGAAGGUCUUCGGAUCGUAAAGCUCUGUUAUUAGGUAAGAACAUAUGUGUAAGUAACUGUGCACAUCUUGACGGUACCGAAUCAGAAAGCCACGGCUAACUACGUG
RNAcentral lists this ribosomal RNA (497 nucleotides) under uncultured bacterium. RNAcentral's name for it is "partial 16S ribosomal RNA". It matches the Rfam family "Bacterial small subunit ribosomal RNA", at positions 28 to 507 of the family's 1533-position model. The record is from RNAcentral.